GUGCCAGCAGCCGCGGUAAUUCCAGCUCCAAUAGCGUAUAUUAAAGUUGUUGUGGUUAAAAAGCUCGUAGUUGAACCUUGGGCCUGGCUGGCCGGUCCGCCUCACCGCGUGCACUGGUCCGGCCGGGCCUUUCCCCCUGUGGAACCCCAUACCCUUCACUGGGCGUGGCGGGGAAACAGGACAUUUACUUUGAAAAAAUUAGAGUGCUCCAGGCAGGCCUAUGCUCGAAUACAUUAGCAUGGAAUAAUAAAAUAGGACGCGCGGUUCUAUUUUGUUGGUUUAUAGGACCGCCGUAAUGAUUAAUAGGGACAGUCGGGGGCAUCAGUAUUCAACUGUCAGAGGUGAAAUUCUUGGAUCAGUUGAAGACUAACUACUGCGAAAGCAUUUGCCAAGGAUGUUUUCAUUAAUCAGGAACGAAAGUUAGGGGAUCGAAGACGAUCAGAUACCGUCGUAGUCUUAACCAUAAACUAUGCCGACUAGGGAUCGGACGGUGUUAUUCAUGACCCGUUCGGCACCUUACGAGAAAUCAAAGUGCUUGGGCUCCAGGGGGAGUAUGGUCGCAAGGCUGAAACUUAAAGAAAUUGACGGAAGGGCACCACCAGGGGUGGAGCCUGCGGCUUAAUUUGACUCAACACGGGGAAACUCACCAGGUCCAGACACAAUAAGGAUUGACAGAUUGAGAGCUCUUUCUUGAUUUUGUGGGUGGUGGUGCAUGGCCGUUCUUAGUUGGUGGGGUGACUUGUCUGCUUAAUGCGAUAACGAACGAGACCUUAACCUGCUAAAUAGCCCGCAUUGCUCCGGCAGUGCGCUGGCUUCUUAGAGGGACUUUCGGCU
This 834-nucleotide ribosomal RNA is filed under the name uncultured fungus. RNAcentral describes it as "SSU rRNA". It matches the Rfam family "Eukaryotic small subunit ribosomal RNA", at positions 564 to 1428 of the family's 1831-position model. Lineage: Eukaryota; Fungi. The record is from RNAcentral.